This 260-nucleotide ribosomal RNA is filed under the name uncultured bacterium. RNAcentral's name for it is "partial 16S ribosomal RNA". It matches the Rfam family "Bacterial small subunit ribosomal RNA", at positions 77 to 339 of the family's 1533-position model. The record is from RNAcentral.
UUGCUAAGUUUGAUGGCGACCGGCGGACGGGUGAGUAAAAUGUAGAGAAUCUGCCCUUGAGAGGGGGACAACAGUUGGAAACGGCUGCUAAUACCCCAUAUGAGCGUACCUGAGAUGGUAUUCUUGAAAACUCCGGUGCUCAAGGAUGAGUCUGCAUCUGAUUAGCUAGUUGGCGGGGUAAUGGCCCACCAAGGCGACGAUCAGUAGCUGGUUUGAGAGGAUGAUCAGCCACAAUGGGACUGAGACACGGCCCAUACUCC